GCCAUUUUGCUGCUCAUCAUAUUGGUGUGUGUCUGCAGUCAUUUGGCCCUGAUCAGGCAAUUGGUCAGUGCGUGCAGAGGCCUAACACAGGUGGCUAACAUCAUUGUUGCUAAAAGCAACAAAUGGUGCCCCAUGUGAGGAAUGCAUGAGGCACGGACUGUGUUCUGAUGCUCUCUGUGCUGCUGCGAGCUGUGGGGUGACACCAUAGCACGAGAUUUGGGGUGAUGCCCAGCCCGAGUGCCCUGAAGAGAGGGGAGCCUGCAGAAGACGAUUGGGGUGACGCCCUGCAGAAGAUCAUGGUGACGACGAUAGUGCCGGCCGGCAAGUAGAACCUGUGUUGCGGUGGGGUCCGGGGGGACGACGGGACGCCCAUGGAGGACCCGUGUGGACGACGGUGUAGAGUGUGAAUUUGCGGUGACGGCGACGGGCUGACUAUGGAACAUGUUCUUAAGGUACUGCUUCAGUUUUGUAAAGACUAUUGCGAAAAGAAUGCUCCUUCUAAGAAGGAUAUCCACGAAGUUAUUUCCCAGUUAGAGCAGGAGGGGGAGAUUAAAGCCCCCCAGGAGAUCUUUGAUCACCAGAGAUGGGAUGAUCUCACCUCCGCACUUGCGCAGUAUGUUAUGAACUCUCAGAAGGGUGGUUCGGAGUUAAAAACUUGGGGACUGAUACUAGGAGCACUGAAAGCUGUGAGGGAGGAGGGAAAGGUGUGGGAGGAAGCCCGGCGGCUCUGGGGUCCUGAUCAGACGGACCCCAGAGGGGAUUCGCAGGGGGUCAGCUUGGAUGUGAAACAUGGGUGCCGGCCGGGAGUUAGCCUUUCUUGCAGGAAUUCAGACGAGGAGCGAUCGACAAAGAUGGCGCCGGGUGAUCCGAACACACCCGGACAAACAACGGGGGACAAACAACAAGAUGGCGGGCUCCAGCCGUCAGCACCCUUAUCGGGUGAAGACACCUUAUCGCAAGGACUGGAAUCCCCGCCCACCCCUCUGAUCACCUGAGAGGUUCCCACAGGCCACUCUUUAGGCCAGUCCUCCUCAGAUAUCACCGUGACAUCUGCCCCUGAGUCAAUAAAUGCUGUAAUCGAGACAGAUCGACGACCCGAAAAAUCAGGCAGCAGGUUAACACACGACAUGAACGCUUUAACAAAUGGGCGGUUUUGACAGUCUAAAGCUAGUGCCACGGUGGGCAUGUCAGGAACUUCAAGUUGGGAGCUGGCAUGACUGGCAGGCUGGACGUAGGUGUCAUUGACGGCCCAUCCCGUGAGCUCUGGGAGGGGCCCUGGGCCUGAGGCACCCUCUCCCAAUCGUUUCCCUGCUGCUGAACUCUAACACUUCUACACUGGCGGGCAGUAUGCCCUCCCUUGCCACACAGUUGACAUAUGACUCUACCCCUUUCCCCGUAUCUCAUGGUUCUGCACUGGGGUCUAAUGUGUGUCUGCAGUCAUUUGGCCCUGAUCAGGCUAUUGGUCAGUGCGUGCAGAGGCCUAACACAGGUGGCUAACAUCUGAAAGCAACACAACAACAAGUCAUACUGACAGCUGCAGCUACCAAAACCAUCCCAAUCGGGAUACAGAUAAUGUAAGCUCCUCACAGUUCCUUAUCCACCUAUUAUACAGUGAGAGGGUGAGGUUAAAAGGACCAUUCAGUCUCAAGGGCUUGUACAAUCCUUGAUUUCUACAGAAUAUUGCCAAAAGGUACUAGAAGAUUUAUUGUUUUUUGCAGUGUGAACACUGAAUUAAAAAAAAAAAAAAAAAGUUUUAAAUCAUCAAUUUAUUUCCUGCUUGCUUCCCAAACUAGUGACUAAUACUAACUGUUACCAAGGAGUAUUUUGGAUAUAAACAGUUUAAAAAAAUGAGUAAUUAGACAAAAACAUAUCAUUUUUCUCUACUUUCUUCAUACAUAAAUACUUGAAAAUAAAUGAAU
Long non-coding RNA from Gallus gallus (chicken), 1919 nucleotides. The record is from Ensembl. Lineage: Eukaryota; Metazoa; Chordata; Aves; Galliformes; Phasianidae.